UUUCGGGGAGAAUGAUCCUUGAGUGAUACAGCGAAAGCGUUAAGUAUUCCACCUGGGGAGUACGCCGGCAACGGUGAAACUCAAAGGAAUUGACGGGGGCCCGCACAAGCGGAGGAACAUGUGGUUUAAUUCGAUGAUACGCGAGGAACCUUACCCGGGCUCAAACGACACAGGAAUACUUUUGAAAGGAGGUAGCUCUUCGGAGCUUGUGUCGAGGUGCUGCAUGGUUGUCGUCAGCUCGUGCCGUGAGGUGUCGGCUUAAGUGCCAUAACGAGCGCAACCCCCAUCGCCAGUUACCAGCAAGUCAAGUUGGGGACUCUGGCGAGACUGCCGGCGCAAGCUGUGAGGAAGGCGGGGAUGACGUCAAAUCAGCACGGCCCUUACGUCCGGGGCGACACACGUGUUACAAUGGCAGGUACAGAGAGAAGCAAUGCGGCGACGCAAAGCGGAACUUGAAAGCCUGUCUCAGUUCGGAUUGGAGUCUGCAACUCGACUCCAUGAAGCUGGAUUCGCUAGUAAUCGCGCAUCAGCCAUGGCGCGGUGAAUACGUUCCCGGGCUUUGUACACACCGCCCGUCAAGCCAUGGAAGCCGGGAGUGCUUGAAGUGUGCAACCGCAAGGAGCGCCUUAAGGUAAAACUGGUGACUGGGGCUAAGUCGUAACAAGGUAGCUGU
RNAcentral lists this ribosomal RNA (673 nucleotides) under uncultured bacterium. RNAcentral describes it as "bacterial SSU rRNA". It matches the Rfam family "Bacterial small subunit ribosomal RNA", at positions 822 to 1503 of the family's 1533-position model. The record is from RNAcentral.